GUAUUUCAAAAGUUAUGGUGUUUUUUGUUUCAUGAUGUAUGUAUGUUUUUAUUGGCACUUUUUAACUCUACUAUUGACACUUUUCACGUUUUAUUUGAAAUUUUAUUUUAAUGACUUUUUUGUUAAAUGAUUUUUGAUCACUGAUUUAUGAAUGUCACUCCCUCUCCUUCCGUCUUUUAUGAUGUUACGUCUAAUGUCUUGUUAUGUUUUGUAUUAUUCCAAUGAAAUGUGAUAUGAGAAUAUUGAUCAAUGCAAUUUUCAAAGUAUUAUGGAAUAAAUUUAUAAAUAGUCAAGUUUGUUUUGAUUUUUGUUCCAUUACCAUUAAUAGACAUUUCCUAAUCAGUCACAUUUGUUGAGUAGGAUCUGAUGACCCUCCCUGAGCACUUGAGAUCACAACUGAUGGGGUUAGUUCUUCUUUUGUCGUGGUAAUGUCAGGUUGUCUUUUACUUAUGAGAUGCAUCUUUUGUCUCUCUUUUAAAUAUGAUUAGUAUUUCCAAGGGGC
RNAcentral lists this long non-coding RNA (502 nucleotides) under Mytilus galloprovincialis (Mediterranean mussel). Lineage: Eukaryota; Metazoa; Mollusca; Bivalvia; Mytilida; Mytilidae. The record is from RNAcentral.